RNAcentral lists this small RNA (188 nucleotides) under Arthrobacter sp. RNAcentral describes it as "c-di-AMP sequence". The stretch from base 25 to 186 matches the Rfam family "c-di-AMP riboswitch aptamer (ydaO/yuaA leader)". From Rfam's summary of the family: This family represents a conserved RNA structure found upstream of the ydaO and yuaA genes in Bacillus subtilis and related genes in other bacteria. Lineage: Bacteria; Bacillati; Actinomycetota; Actinomycetes; Micrococcales; Micrococcaceae. The record is from RNAcentral.
AUCCGGGAUGCGCCGAGCUCUGCCACUUCCCGGAGUCCGUACUUACUCCGAGGCAGAGACGGGGGACCCAGAGUCUCCGGGCCCAGGCAUUUAUGCCGGACCCUUGGGGUGAAGCCGCAGCGUGAUGCGCGGCCGGAUGACCUCAUCCGAACCCGACAGCUAACUCCGCAGGCGCUGAGAGGUAAUCA